GCCUGGCUGGCUCAGUUGGAAGAGCAUGAGACUCUUGAUCUCGGGAUUAUAGGUUCAAGCCCCUUGUUGGGUG
RNAcentral lists this transfer RNA (73 nucleotides) under Felis catus (domestic cat). It matches the Rfam family "tRNA". From Rfam's summary of the family: Transfer RNA (tRNA) molecules are approximately 80 nucleotides in length. Their secondary structure includes four short double-helical elements and three loops (D, anti-codon, and T loops). Further hydrogen bonds mediate the characteristic L-shaped molecular structure. tRNAs have two regions of fundamental functional importance: the anti-codon, which is responsible for specific mRNA codon recognition, and the 3' end, to which the tRNAs corresponding amino acid is attached (by aminoacyl-tRNA synthetases). tRNAs cope with the degeneracy of the genetic code in two manners: having more than one tRNA (with a specific anti-codon) for a particular amino acid; and 'wobble' base-pairing, i.e. permitting non-standard base-pairing at the 3rd anti-codon position. The record is from Rfam by way of RNAcentral. RNAcentral also lists the same sequence under 2 other names. Lineage: Eukaryota; Metazoa; Chordata; Mammalia; Carnivora; Felidae.